This 1876-nucleotide long non-coding RNA is filed under the name Salmo salar (Atlantic salmon). RNAcentral describes it as "lncRNA (ENSSSAG00000095106.1, ENSSSAG00000116198.1)". The record is from RNAcentral. Lineage: Eukaryota; Metazoa; Chordata; Actinopteri; Salmoniformes; Salmonidae.
CAAAGCCCGCGAACAGGAAUAUUCCAAGUUCAGACAGAAGGGGGGAGUCAGCUCGCUCUGAUCGCCAGGAACUUUACUUUUGGUGUCUAUUUUUAAUUGUCGCACUAUUGGUGCUGACUGUUGAUGUUAGGUAGGCAGCUACAGUAGCUGAAUGAUGUUAACAUCUUCGGGUUUUGUUUCAUUAAAUGCAUUUAAUUUCAUCUGGGUGCUUGCGUUACCUACUAACACCCUGGUACCCGUAGCUCCCGUUCUCCUCAGUCCGAGAAAACACUGAGAGAAAGGUAUGUGUUGCAGAUUACUCCUUUGUAGAAGUCCAUAACGUGAAAUAAAUAAAACAUCCCAAGAUUAAUGCUGUAUAUAUUGUUAUAAGUUAGUGUGAGAUUAUUGAAACAUGUAACUUUCAGAGUUUUAUUAUUGUUAUUAAUAUAGUUUACAAAGUGCUAAAAGUGCUGCUGUUGCUAGCUAGCAUGCCUUUCUGUGAUGCAGAUGGUUAGCUGAGCUGUCGACUGGUGCUUGCGUUGCAUUAUGGGAGAUGUAGUUUUGGCCCUCUAAGGUCUGAAUGGGAAAGAGACAAUUUCACGUUUUACUUGUUUGUGUUGCAGUGUUUUUGUACAUGAGUUGUAUUUUGGUACUGUAUUUUGGUACUGUCAACACUGAAAGCACCUAGCAAUGUAUUGGGUAUGUGUUUUACCUUUCUUCAUGCUCCUGUGUAGAACAACUUGUCAGAUGGUGCAUUGGAGACUGAUGUGUUCCUGUUCUGUCUUUUCAUAAUACCAUUGCAGGUGGACUCCAAUCAAGUUGUAGGAACAUCUCAAGGAUGACCAAUGGAAACAGGAUGCACCUGAGCUCAAUUUCAAGUCUCAUAGCAAAGGGUCUGAACAAGCAGAUUCUUUUAACUCUUCUGCAAGCUGCUCUGUGGAUGUUGUUGGUUCAUCAGAUUCUGAUGACACUGUUACUCUGACACAAAGUCCUAGCAGAAACAGGAGAGCAGAGGAAGAUAGUGCAGCCAAACAAGUCCCGCACGACAUGUGAAGGAAGCAUAUGCAAGAGGAAUAGUUUCCUUCUUUCCGUACCUGGCCGACCCCAAAAGCAAGACUGACUAUGCCGCAACAAGCCGGGAAAGAUGUCAGCAAGACACGCAGCUGAACAUCUUGUGAAGUUCAUGAAGGUAAUGGCUUCCUGAAGUUCUCCAAGCAGCUGAUUGGUCAGCCCCAUUGCUGAUUGGAGAGCUGACCCCGCCCCCUCGUCAGGACGCAGCUGUCUCAAUUAACAACCCCAAUAUAAGCCAGUGUGCUGUUGCUCAGAGAAAGAGAGAGACACAGAGAUUUUUGCUGAGAGAGGAGGUUGAUGGCAGAGGGUUAUAUAUAUAUAUAUAUAUAUAUAUAUAUAUAUAUAUAUAUAUAUAUAUGUAUGUAUGUAUGUUGGUUGUUUCUCAGAAAGAGAAUUGGGUAUGUACUGAGUUAGUUGUUGCUGAGAAAGCUUAUUGUUAUGUUCUGUGUUUAGUGCUCAGAGUUUUCUUUAAUGUCCUGGGUUAGUGUUUUCUCAGGUUUUGUUGUAAAGUAGUUUGUACAUUUGUGUUACUCUGUUUCAUUUGUUCCCAGAGGGGAAGGGGAAGGCACCUAGGCAGUGCUUAGGCAAGAGGCCCGCGGGCAUACAUAUACCGUAGUAAUUUAUUGUCUAUGCACACUAGGAAAGACCUGGGCGGACCAUCCCCUGUAUUUUGGUUAGUGCACCAGGUGGUGCUAGUUAGGUAAGUAGUGGGUAGGCAGGUAAGGUAGGAGAGGGGGCUUUGAUAUUUAGUUUCUUUGCUUUGGUUCGGUCCAGCCCCUUUUCCCCAAACUUACCGCGUGAAGGAAUAAAUUCCCAGUAAACGGUA